ACAUCGCUACACAUCCAGAAAAAAGCCGAACAUUGGCCAAAGUUUCUUUCUUUGGCCUAUAUUCGGCCUUUUGCCACUCUGGAGAGCCAAACUUUCUCUAAAGCAGGGCCCCAGACCCUUUCUCUUAUUUUGGGGAGGGGGCUCACUCUGACUCGCUGCUCCGGCUGCUAAGUAGCCGAGUAUUCUAGCCCCUUGGCCCCCUCUAGCACCAGCAGCAGCGCCUUGAUUCGGCUCUUUGCAGGGAAGGAACAACGCGGGGGGGGGGGAGGUUGUUGAGCAGUUGGGAGACUGAAACCCUGCUCUCUGUGUGUGUCUCAGCAGAGGCACCGGCCAGAGAUUGCCUAACAGGAUGGAGUUGUGACCCACAAGCUUCUAGCUCUUAUUGGCAGGCGGCUGCAUCUCCCGUGUGUGCAGUCCUGGGUGCAGACCCUGGUAACAGCUUCAGGGAAGGGUCCAACUGUGGGGGAAAGGAAGCACCUGAGACCCCGAAGAGCUGCUGCCAGCCAGUGCAGACAGCUCUGAAUGAGAUGGGCUGAGGGCCUGACUCAGUCAAAGGCUGCGUAUGUAGCCUCCCAUUGUGUUUUGAAUGCCUGUUAAGCUGAUGAAGCAUAAAAAGACCCUUUUGUGUGUUCAGAGGCAGGGCAUCCUUGGACUUCACUCACUCACACACACACACACACACAGAAGCUGCCAGCACCUAGCCCCACAUGCCAGGAGAAUAAGUUGGCAACCAUGUUGCAUCUUUUAAACAAGGCAACUGGGACCUAGAACCUCCCUAACCGGGAGGAGGGCUCCCUGCCAGGGAGAAAGAGGCAUCUGCCUGGGGCCGAGAGGAGUCCUUGCAAGGGGGCGAGACCCUCUCUCUCUCCACACCCCACCCCACCCCACCCCUGCUGCCAGGCUGGACUCUGCAAGGCGGCGGCAGCCAGCCCCGCCAGGUGACGGACAGCCCACACCGGCAGCAGCCUGACCCUCCUCGCCGCCUCCCCCGCUGCCGCCCGUAGAAUGGUCGCGUCCUCCUCGUGACGACGCUGGAGACCUUCUCAUUGAUUGGAACGUUAAGUCCCGGGAGACGAGACCAUUGAGGCGGGCAGCGGGGGGGAGGUGGCGGGCGGAGUUCUCGCGAUGACUCGGAGCCCGGCCGCGUCCUUUUGCUCGUCGACGGGAAGAGCAACUCCGGGAAGGCGCUUGUGGCGGCGGCGGCGGCGGAGGAAAGCCCGAAGAGCCGGCAGAAGAAAAGAGAGAAUUGGUGGCGUAACCGAAGAACCGAAAAAGAGCCCUUCUGGAUGAGAGCAAAGGCCCAUCAGCUUCACCACCCACUUUCUACAAAGCCUGCAGGUUGUGAGGAACCACCGCUGAUUGGCUUCAGGAAAAAUACAAGUUUCUGGGAUACACUCGGAGAUGCCACAGGAGAGAAGGCCUCUGUCUAACUCCCUUGGAGAAAUCUAAGAAUGUUUGGAUACAAUCUACACUCCCUUUGAAGGAAUUGAAGAAACCUUUUUGGAGGCUAUUUUGAAGAACUCUAUACACCAGGGAGGAUGUAAAGUCUAUCACGUUUGGGACAUAACAAUUGUUCUUUCACUUCUGAGGAAGCUCAUUGGGAAACAAGGACUUAUCGCGAAACCUUGUCAAGUGAUUCAUGUAUAUUCAGUGUUUUAUUAUAAUAAAUGACUUAGAUUAA
Hemicordylus capensis (graceful crag lizard) is the source of this 1681-nucleotide RNA transcript. It is a transcript of the gene named potassium channel subfamily K member 4-like, with no coding region annotated. The transcript is spliced from 4 exons. Lineage: Eukaryota; Metazoa; Chordata; Lepidosauria; Squamata; Cordylidae. The record is from RefSeq and is a predicted model, not a curated record.